Molecule: ribosomal RNA, 445 nt
Filed under: uncultured bacterium
Lineage: Bacteria
Description: partial 16S ribosomal RNA
Rfam family: Bacterial small subunit ribosomal RNA
Source: RNAcentral
GUGAGGAAUAUUGGUCAAUGGACGAGAGUCUGAACCAGCCAAGUCGCGUGAAGGAAGAAGGAUCUAUGGUUCGUAAACUUCUUUUGCAGGGGAAUAAAGUGCAGGACGUGUCCUGUUUUGUAUGUACCCUGAGAAUAAGGAUCGGCUAACUCCGUGCCAGCAGCCGCGGUAAUACGGAGGAUCCGAGCGUUAUCCGGAUUUAUUGGGUUUAAAGGGUGCGUAGGUGGUUUGAUAAGUCAGCGGUGAAAGUUUGCAGCUUAACUGUAAAAAUGCCGUUGAAACUGUCGGACUUGAGUGUAAAUGAGGUAGGCGGAAUGCGUGGUGUAGCGGUGAAAUGCAUAGAUAUCACGCAGAACUCCGAUUGCGAAGGCAGCUUACUAAGCUACAACUGACACUGAAGCACGAAAGCGUGGGGAUCAAACAGGAUUAGAAACCCGGGUAGUCC